Molecule: long non-coding RNA, 932 nt
Organism: Anopheles coustani
Lineage: Eukaryota; Metazoa; Arthropoda; Insecta; Diptera; Culicidae
Exons: 4
Source: RefSeq, a predicted model, not a curated record
CAUGCUAUACUUCUUACCUAGGUGUAUAUUUCCCGAUUUUUAUUUAUUGAAAUGCUGUUCAAUGUGAACAUUCUAACAGUUUGGUGUUUCAUCGCUCACUAUGAAGCGUGUUUUUACAUCGUUAUUAAAAGCAAAGUUAAAUUUUCCUUGUCGAAAAUGGGGCGGGCAAUGGCAUGUCAUUGCGGAAAAGGCAACAUCACAAAUGCAGCAUCAAUUUGAUUGCAUGUGGGAAGUGCUUGCCCCUGAACAAUACUCUACGAAAUUUGGUUACGUCAUGCAAGGAAUGGAAAAAACGAGAACAGUUGUGUAAAGUGUGAAUUGUUUCCGAUACGGUUGUUCCUCUGAUUGCCAGUGAUGAAAUCGAUUGUGUUAAGUAUGAUUCAAUACGGUGUUUGAAAUAGAUACGGUGUUAGAAAUUUGAUGCAGAUUUAAUCAAUCGUUAGUGCAUAAUCUUUUUUGCUGUGCAAUCAAGUUCAAUGAAGAGAAUGCAGCGAACGUGGGGGCUCAAUAAGAGUUAGUACUUCCAGUCAGAGAUCAGAUAAGUAUUUUAUUGAACCUUUUUGAGCUUAUAACUAUUCCUGUUGAUGAGAUGAUGGCAAGAGAAAUGACGCUAUUGCUGAAAAAAUGAGUAGUGGAACUUUGCCAUCCUUUUAUUUUAUAAUAAUUUAAAAUUCACUUUUCUUUGUCGGUUUAUGUUAAACUGUAUUACAUUUAUUAGUUAUAGAAAAGUCUACAUCAUUACUUCCCAUGUAUAGUCUUGCUGUUGCAACGCAACAGACUCACUUUCGGCCGGCAAUGAGAAGAUGGUUACGCUUUUUUUGAACUCUUUUAUUCCAGUCAAUAGUAAUAAAAAAAUGAAAUAGAUUGGUGUUGAGUUAAAAACUACAACGUGAGUCUUCUCCGUUGCCCAGAAAGUAAGACCCGUUAUCCUC